ACAAUAUAUACGCAAGAAUCAAUAAUUAAAGGUCUAAUUAUUCAGAUUAUAGCAAAUGCAAUAACCCAAGAUCAACCCAUGAUUUCGAUCCCCACUUUAACGUUUUUUCACCAUUAACUUCAGAUUAAAACCUCUCCAGUAAAUAAUUACCCACAAAUCUAAAUUCUAUAGAUCGAAAAAUGGAUUAGGGGAAUAAAUUUUUUAGUUUUAGUGCUAGAAGAGGUGAAAAACCUUUAAGAAAUAUCUCUAGGUUAUCUCUCAGCUCUCAAGAGCAAAACUUGCAGAAAAUAAUAUUUUUGGGAUUUAAUCUUGACUUAAGUCAAGAUUGGCCCGCCGUAGCGUGACCCAACCCGCCUUGGCGGAAAUAAUUCCGCCCCAGCGCCUCUCACAGAGACAAAAGACAAAAAGGAGUCCCAAACUCCCAUUUCACAACACACCUUCAACCCAUGAUGUUCGAAGACUAUAUAUAUAUCCUUUCACGCUAAGAUCAGUUUCGAAAGUUCCACUCGCCCGAAUUUGAUUCUGUAAAGCCGUACGGGUUCCUCAACGUCUUAGCUAUCUACUCAUGUGUACAAUUUCAAGUGUUAAACAUGAUUAGUGAGAAAGGCCAACAUGAAUACUAAAGAAAGAAAAAAAGAACAAAAAUGUGCAUCUACUAAGCUAUAUACCCGCACAGUGGUCACACGCUCUGGCUCUUGGUGGUGCGUCCCCGUGAUGGGUUUUGAAGUUGCUGCCUCUCCGCGCACUGCGCACGCGCGGCAUGGAGGUGUGAAAUCAUUACAGUAAGGUAUUUUUGAUAAUUCAAAGGGAACCCUAUGCUAUAUGAUGUUGUAGCUUGCCCUAGGGCUGAUGAUCAUCGAUAAAAAGAGAAGAAAGAGCGACGAAGAGAAGAGAAAGGGGAAGACACGGUACAUUACUCGAGUUCAAAAUGGAAGUUGCGAUUCAAAGUUUGAUGGCUAUGUUUUCUUUUUCUCUUUUGUUCUUAGUAAACUUAUUCUGAUCCAUGGAGUAAAUUUUUAGAGGGUAUUUUGACAAACAUGUUGUAUUGAUGAAUUUGUUGGGAUUUUGGUUUUCAUUCUUAUGCUUGAACUUGUUAUGGGAAUUUAAAUUAAAUUGCAACCUUGUUCAUUAUUUUAUUUAUUCGAAAGAGGAAUAUCUUGGUGAA
Molecule: long non-coding RNA, 1165 nt
Organism: Solanum pennellii
Lineage: Eukaryota; Viridiplantae; Streptophyta; Magnoliopsida; Solanales; Solanaceae
Exons: 2
Source: RefSeq, a predicted model, not a curated record